Molecule: long non-coding RNA, 615 nt
Filed under: Daucus carota (carrot)
Lineage: Eukaryota; Viridiplantae; Streptophyta; Magnoliopsida; Apiales; Apiaceae
Description: long non-coding RNA (DCAR_LNC007549)
Source: RNAcentral
UCGAGCUUUGAAAUUUUUUCUAAAUUAUUUUCAAGGCUCGAUAAUUGUUUAUGAAUGAUUUCAAGUCCAAUUUCAAGUAUUUGGGACUUGAUUAUUUAUCCGAAAAGUGAUUCUUUUAUCGAUUUUAAUUCCGAAAAAUGUUUAAAAAUUCUGGAAAAAUUCCCGAAAAAUCAUUUUUAACCCAAGAGUUGAUUUGAUAUCAAUUGGGGUGGGAAACCUUAUGUGUUAUGUGUUGUCUGCUAUCUGUUUGAUGUGUUAUGUGCCGACAGAGGAGUGAGAAAACUGUUUUGAGCAUAACUUUUGAUCCGUAAGUCGGAAUCAAGUGAAACGAAAGAGAGAAAGAAGCUUAUAAAGUCUAGUUUGAUAUAACAUAAUAAUAUGAUGGAGUCGAGAAUGUGAGUAAUUGUUGUUAAAGGUGCCGAAUGUGAUUAUAUGUUAUUGGAUUGUUAUUAAUUGAUGAUUACGUGAUAUAUAUGUCUAUUCCUGAUAUUAUAAAAGUGAUAAAUGAUUCGUAGGACUGAUAUUGGAUAAGGAUAUAUGGAUUAUGAUGACUGGAGUUGAUUGAUUGGUUGUUGAUUGAAAUAGGUUGACCGGAGGAUAGUCUAAUAAAUAGAC